AAGGCCGGUUUGCAAAUGAAGAGCCCAGAAAAGAAGCGAAGAAAGUCAAAUACCCAGGGUCCUGCUUACUCACGUCUGACGGAGUUUGCACCACCCCGACUCCCAUGGUGGAUCAUCUGGUUGCAUCCAACCCUUUUGAGGGUGACUUCGGAGCCCCUAAGAUGGGCAGCGCGGCCCCUCCAUUCCUCGGCAGUCCUGUGCUCUUUGGAAGCUUCCGUGUAUGAGGGGACAUGGCAAGCCAGGUACCCCCAGGCUGUGGAGGGGUCCCCAGACACUUUGUUGAUAACCCCGCCCUUCCCUCCUAAUCCUAUGGGACCUGCUUUCAACAUGCCCCCCCAGGGCCCUGGCUACCCACCCCCAGGCAACAUGAACUUUCCCAGUCAACCCUUCAGCCAGCCUCUGGGUCAAAACUUCAGCGCUCCAGGUGGGCAGAUGAUGCCAGGCCCAGUGGGGGAUUUGGCCCCAUGAUCUCACCCACCAUGGGACAGCCUCCCAGAGGGGAGCUGGGCCCUCCUUCUCUCCCCCAGCGCUUUGCCCAGCCAGAUGUGCCUUUUGGUCCUUCUCCUCUACAGAGACCUGGUCAGGGGCUCCCCAGCCUGCCCCCCAACACAAGUCCCUUCCCUGGUCCAGACCCCGGCUUUCCUGGCCCUGGUGGUGAGGAUGGGGGAAGCCCUUGAAUCCACCUGCUCCCACUGCUUUUCCCCAGAAGCCCCAUUUGGGCUCGCCAGCUGCUGCUGUUAAUGGGAAUCAGCCCAGUUUCCCCCAAAACAGCAGUGGACGGGGUGAUGGCACUCCGGAUGCCAACAGCCUAGCACCCCCUGGCAAGACAGGUGGGGGUUCAGGGCCCCAGCCUCCCCCAGGCCUGGUGUACCCAUGUGGUGCCUGUCGGAACGAGGUGAAUGACAACCAGGAUGCUGUCUUGUGUGAGGCCUCCUGCCAGAAGUGGUUCCACUGGAGUGCACAGCAUGACUGACAGCGUGACCACUGAGGCCUCUGCUGUCUGGGCCUGUGAUCUCUGCCUCAAGACCAAGGAGAUCCAGUCUGUCUACAUCCGCGAGGGCAUGGGGCAGCUGGUGGCUGCUAAUGAUGGGUGA
Non-coding RNA from Marmota flaviventris (yellow-bellied marmot), 1094 nucleotides. Lineage: Eukaryota; Metazoa; Chordata; Mammalia; Rodentia; Sciuridae. The record is from RefSeq and is a predicted model, not a curated record.